UAGAAGCAAGCUUUUGUAGCAUUUCAUUUACACUGAAAAGGAACUUGUAGGUACAAGGCUUUUAA
Molecule: transfer RNA, 65 nt
Filed under: Pollicipes polymerus
Lineage: Eukaryota; Metazoa; Arthropoda; Thecostraca; Pollicipedomorpha; Pollicipedidae
Description: tRNA-Val
Source: RNAcentral